RNAcentral lists this ribosomal RNA (497 nucleotides) under Sthenoteuthis oualaniensis. RNAcentral's name for it is "partial large subunit ribosomal RNA". It matches the Rfam family "Bacterial large subunit ribosomal RNA", at positions 1850 to 2607 of the family's 2925-position model. The record is from RNAcentral. Lineage: Eukaryota; Metazoa; Mollusca; Cephalopoda; Oegopsida; Ommastrephidae.
GAGUCGGGCCUGCUCGGUGAAUAAGUUUUUAACAGCUGCGGUAUUUUAACUGUACUAAGGUAGCAUAAUAAUUUGCCUUAUAAUUUGAGGCUAGAAUGAAUGGUUUGACGAAGGUUAAUCUGUCUCCGCUUUAUUUUUUAGAAUUUAAUUUUUAAAGUGAAAAAGCUUAAAUUUUUUAAAGGGACGAGAAGACCCUAAUGAGCUUAUAAUUUUAUUAUUGUUGUGCAAAACAUUUGGUCAAUAAUAUAUAAAUUUUAAUUGGGGUGAUUGAGGAAUAAAUUAGAUAAACUAACUUCCUUAAACUAAAUAUUUAUAGAUAAAGUAACCAAUAUAAUAUUGCUUAUAAUAUAGUUACCAUAGGGAUAACAGCGUAAUUUGUUUAGAGAGUUCUUAUUGAAAAACGAGAUUGCGACCUCGAUGUUGGAUUAAAGUAACCUUAAGGUGCAGAAGCUUUAGUAAGGUAAAUCUGUUCGAUUUUUAAUACUUUACGUGAUCUG